RNAcentral lists this unclassified non-coding RNA (373 nucleotides) under soil metagenome. RNAcentral describes it as "partial contains 5.8S ribosomal RNA, internal transcribed spacer 2, and large subunit ribosomal RNA". The stretch from base 1 to 117 matches the Rfam family "5.8S ribosomal RNA", at positions 35 to 154 of the family's 154-position model. The record is from RNAcentral.
GAUGAAGAACGUAGCGAAUCGCGAUAUGUAGUGUGAUCUGCCUCUAGUGAAUCAUCAAAUCUUUGAACGCAUCUUGCACCCUUUGGUAUUCCAAAGGGUACGCCUGUUUCAGUAUCAUUAUAACCUUUCUCCCCAAGGCUUUUGGCCAAGGAGGGAAAGAGCAUAACCGGUGGCCCAGCGGUCUCCCAUCAGGGGGAUUGUCUCGGCUGGAAUGACUGUUGCAAUGGUGGGCCUAAUGGUCUUCCGCACUUGAUAAAUGUACUUUUAUAAAGAGCGGGGCCGGUCUACCGAAAGUUGUAACUAAACCCUUUACCUUUGAUCUGAAAUCAGGCGGGAUUACCCGCUGAACUUAAGCAUAUCAAUAAGCGGAGGA